RNAcentral lists this ribosomal RNA (899 nucleotides) under Pratylenchus coffeae. Its description in RNAcentral is "SSU rRNA". It matches the Rfam family "Eukaryotic small subunit ribosomal RNA", at positions 30 to 926 of the family's 1831-position model. Lineage: Eukaryota; Metazoa; Nematoda; Chromadorea; Rhabditida; Pratylenchidae. The record is from RNAcentral.
GCUUGUCUCAAAGAUUAAGCCAUGCAUGUAUAAGUAUAAACGCAUUGAAGCGUGAAACCGCGAACGGCUCAUUACAACAGCUAUAAUUUACUUGAUCUUGACAUCCUACAUGGAUAACUGUGGUAAUUCUAGAGCUAAUACAUGCACCAAAGCUCCAACCCGCAAGGGAAGAGCGCAUUUAUUAGAACAAAACCAAGCGGCUUCGGCUGCCCAACGUUGACUCAGAAUAACUAAGCUGAUCGCAUCGUCUUGUACCGGCGACGUGUCUUUCAAGUAUCUGCCUUAUCAACUUUCGAUGGUACUGUCAUUGACUACCAUGGUGGUGACGGGUAACGGAGGAUCAGGGUUCGACUCCGGAGAAGGGGCCUGAGAAAUGGCCACUACGUCUAAGGAUGGCAGCAGGCGCGCAAAUUACCCACUCUCAGAACAACUAGAGGAGGUAGUGACGAGAAAUAACGAGACCGUUCUCAACAGAGGCCGGUCAUCGGAAUGGGUACAAUUUAAACCCUUUAACGAGUAUCUAUGAGAGGGCAAGUCUGGUGCCAGCAGCCGCGGUAAUUCCAGCUCUCAAAAUGCAUAGAAUUAUUGCUGCGGUUAAAAAGCUCGUAGUUGGAUCUGUGCCAGCAUGCCGGUCCAUCUUCGGAUGCGUACUGGUUCAUUGCCGGCUUUCCUGCAGUUUGUCGGCUCUGUGCCCUUCACUGGGCGCAGUUGUUCGGUGCUGCAAGUUUACUUUGAGCAAAUCAGAGUGCUCUAAACAGGCGUUUCGCUUGAAUGUUCGUGCAUGGAAUAAUAGAAGAGGAUUUCGGUUCUAUUUUAUUGGUUUUAUAGACUGAGAUAAUGGUUAACAGAGACAAACGGGGGCAUUCGUAUUGCUACGUGAGAGGUGAAAUUCUUGGACC